RNAcentral lists this long non-coding RNA (207 nucleotides) under Capsicum annuum. RNAcentral describes it as "long non-coding RNA (CANN_LNC006747)". Lineage: Eukaryota; Viridiplantae; Streptophyta; Magnoliopsida; Solanales; Solanaceae. The record is from RNAcentral.
UGUAUUUUGAAUUGUGCUUCUUUAUCAUUUAUCCUGAAUUUCAGCUCAUUCAGCUCCAUAUCUAUGAUCACUUUCUAAGUUGCAUGGAAUGGUUUGCCCAAGAUGAUGGGCACUUCAAAUCCACCUCACAGUCUAGGACUAGAAAAUCAGUAGGCAGAAUAAAGUCAACCACCUUUACCAAUACAUCAUGUAAUAUGCUUACUGGCC